This 321-nucleotide ribosomal RNA is filed under the name Triticum aestivum (bread wheat). RNAcentral describes it as "partial small subunit ribosomal RNA". Lineage: Eukaryota; Viridiplantae; Streptophyta; Magnoliopsida; Poales; Poaceae. The record is from RNAcentral.
AUGUCCACCUGCCCGACACUGGGGUCAAGAUUGAAGUUCUUCCAGAUAUGCAUCGACGCGCCGACCUCGUUGUCGCAGCCGGCGCACUCGUCGACGACCCUGGCGCUUAUGUGAAGGUUGGCGUCGUCGGCGAUGCGGAUCAACUUGCCGCACCGGGCCCCGUCGGCGUACCACUCCGACGAGAGCGACACCACGAACUCAUCGUCGCUGUGGAACUGACCGUCGCACGACGACGGCCCGCCGCCCGGCUCCCCUUGCUGGAAGCCGUUCACUGUCAUUAUCGCAGCUCUUACAACCCAGAUUCUAAUACUCACUCUGUAA